GACGGAGGAGGCAAGCGAUAUCCGGAAUUAUUGGGCGUAAAGGGUACGUAGGCGGCUGGUCAAGUCUGGGGUCAAAGGCCACAGCUCAACUGUGGGAAGGCCCUGGAAACUGACCGGCUAGAGUGAGGUAGGGGUUGCGGGAAUUCCCGGUGUAGCGGUGAAAUGCGUAGAGAUCGGGAAGAACACCUGAGGCGGAAGCGCGCAACUGGGCCUCAACUGACGCUGAGGUACGAAAGCUAGGGGAGCGAAUGGG
Molecule: ribosomal RNA, 253 nt
Filed under: uncultured bacterium
Lineage: Bacteria
Description: partial 16S ribosomal RNA
Rfam family: Bacterial small subunit ribosomal RNA
Source: RNAcentral